CGAGUUGGCCAGACGAUCGCGGGCAACAGUCCGAAAGGCGUUGUCUGAGGAAAGUCCGAGCUGCAUAGAGCAGGGUGCUGGAUAACGUCCAGUGGGGGCGACCCUAAGGAAAGUGCCACAGAAAACAAACCGCCUUCUUUGAGGGUAAGGAUGAAACGGUGCGGUAAGAGCGCACCAGAGGCCAGGUGACUGGUUUGCUUGGUAAACCCCACCCGCAGCAAGACCGAAUAGGGGGAGGAUGAGGUUGCUCGCCGACUUCCCGGGUAGGUCGCUUGAGGUGUCCGGUAACGGGCAUCCCAGAUAAAUGAUCGUCCGUGACAGAACUCGGCUUAUGGCCAACUCGUCGU
Molecule: RNase P RNA, 347 nt
Filed under: Sulfobacillus harzensis
Lineage: Bacteria; Bacillati; Bacillota; Clostridia; Eubacteriales; Clostridiales Family XVII. Incertae Sedis
Description: Bacterial RNase P class A
Rfam family: Bacterial RNase P class A
About the family: Ribonuclease P (RNase P) is a ubiquitous endoribonuclease, found in archaea, bacteria and eukarya as well as chloroplasts and mitochondria. Its best characterised activity is the generation of mature 5'-ends of tRNAs by cleaving the 5'-leader elements of precursor-tRNAs. Cellular RNase Ps are ribonucleoproteins.
Source: Rfam by way of RNAcentral